RNAcentral lists this ribosomal RNA (377 nucleotides) under uncultured Phycisphaerae bacterium. RNAcentral describes it as "bacterial SSU rRNA". It matches the Rfam family "Bacterial small subunit ribosomal RNA", at positions 521 to 896 of the family's 1533-position model. Lineage: Bacteria; Pseudomonadati; Planctomycetota; Phycisphaerae. The record is from RNAcentral.
UAAUACGAAGGUGGCUAGCGUUGUUCGGAAUUAUUGGGCUUAAAGCGCACGCAGGCGGAAUGGAAAGUGUUUUGUGAAAACCCUCGGCUUAACCGAGGAAUUGCUUAGCAAACUACCAUUCUUGAGGCAAGUAGGGGUGCAUGGAACUCUUGGUGGAGCGGUGGAAUGCGUAGAUAUCAAGAGGAACGCCAACGGUGAAGACAGUGCACUGGGCUUGACCUGACGCUGAGGUGCGAAAGCGUGGGGAGCGAACGGGAUUAGAUACCCCGGUAGUCCACGCUGUAAACGAUGUCUACUAGGUUGCGGGAGUUCUGACACUAUCGCAGCCGAAGCAAAAGUGUUAAGUAGACCGCCUGGGGAGUACGGUCGCAAGGCUA